GUCUGCCUUCAUCUUGUUCACCUCUUACUAAGCUGCUAGACUUGAGAGCAUGCUCACCUCAGACUCCAGGGGGACAAAGGGAGAAGAAGGCAUGUGUAGGCUUAAUCCUGAUCCCAGAGUAGGGUACCUGAAAAAGGACAGCUUGGUGGUGAAAAGGCACUGUGAAGGACCUGGAUAUGGUUGACCUCCCUGUGCUUCUUGAAGCGGUUUCCGUGGGUAGACUGGCUGCUCCCCUCCUCUGGAAAGGGUUUAUACGGUGCUCCAGAAAUUCACAAAGGAAGAAGAUGUCCACAUUUCAUAAGAUUUUAUCAUCUAAUUCUGUACCAGUGAAUACUACUCAAAAACAGGUGUCAAGUAGCAAGGGAGAUGAAUGCAAGUUAGAGUGCGGCAUAAGGAGAAUAUCUCUCUCACAGUUGUACUUAACAGUUUUGAAACCUUCAGCCCAUCAUUUCACAUCUCUGAACUAAUGAGAAACUUCUAAAUUGAAUUUGUACAAAGCAAAUCCACCGAGUCAGUGACUUUAAUAUAUCUUGAGUGGCCUGUUGGGAGAGCAGCUGGAGAGGCAGACGGCAGUCUGAGGGGUAUUGCACCAUUUACCUUCAACAUCCAACUGCCAGUGCCUGGGCAAGGCACGGGAUUUUGCCUGUGUGUAACAUACAGCAUGUGGAAAGAAACAGCCUUCUCUAGGGAGUGAUGUGAAGUAGGGGCUGAGCUUCUACCCUGCAGUGUCCUGUAUUUGCAACAGAGAGAAUGCCAGAGGAAGAUGCACUGACCCUAUAGCUACCCUACAGACACCUCUGCUGUCUUUUACCCCCUUGUGUUGUCCUUUUUCUUGAGGAACGCUGCCUUGUUCAGGCUCUGCAGGUGGAAGGGACUCUGUAUGUUCAGGCUUAUGCUUAUUUACUUUAUUUCUGUAUCCUUUCUGAGCAUGCUCUGAAGUUGUAGCCAUUACUUCCAUUCUGAACCCAAGUGAGACUUGUGUUUUAGUAAAACGCACCAUUUUAGAUGGGACAUCACAAAAGGAGAAUUUACAGUAAUCUGCUCUCAUGUUUCAUUACUCAGCGUGAAAUUUAUGUACCUGGUUUCCUUAUUUUAAGGCAUUUGCUUUUAGCUUCCCACCACUGGUACUUAAGUUUUUCUCUGCUUGUUACACUUCUCUCAUCUUUCCUUCCUCUCUUUCAUGUUCCUUAAUUUCUUCUAAAAUUGUUCAUCCAAUUUUUCCCCUUUCUUGCUUUUUGUUGGGUAAGAGCAAUCACAAAUCAGCAUCAAACAGCUGUAUGAGUUCCAGCAACUGUUUUUUA
RNAcentral lists this long non-coding RNA (1301 nucleotides) under Anas platyrhynchos platyrhynchos (common mallard). Its description in RNAcentral is "lncRNA (ENSAPLG00000019762.1)". The record is from RNAcentral. Lineage: Eukaryota; Metazoa; Chordata; Aves; Anseriformes; Anatidae.